RNAcentral lists this ribosomal RNA (922 nucleotides) under uncultured Bacteroidota bacterium. Its description in RNAcentral is "bacterial SSU rRNA". It matches the Rfam family "Bacterial small subunit ribosomal RNA", at positions 9 to 919 of the family's 1533-position model. Lineage: Bacteria; Pseudomonadati; Bacteroidota. The record is from RNAcentral.
GAGUUUGAUCAUGGCUCAGAUUGAACGCUAGCGGCAGGCUUAACACAUGCAAGUCGAGGGGUAACAGGGUUUAGUUUACUAGACUGCUGACGACCGGCGCACGGGUGAGUAACGCGUAUACAAUUUACCUUAUACAGGAGGAUAGCCUUUAGAAAUGAAGAUUAAUACUCCAUGGUAUUAUGAAGUGGCAUCGCUUUAUAAUUAAAGAUUUAUUGGUAUAAGAUGAGUAUGCGUCCUAUUAGCUAGAUGGUAAGGUAAUGGCUUACCAUGGCGACGAUAGGUAGGGGUCCUGAGAGGGAGAUCCCCCACACUGGUACUGAGACACGGACCAGACUCCUACGGGAGGCAGCAGUGAGGAAUAUUGGGCAAUGGAGGCAACUCUGAACCAGCCAUGCCGCGUGCAGGAAGACGGUCCUAUGGAUUGUAAACUGCUUUUAUAGAGGAAGAAACCCGGUUACGUGUAAUCGGCUGACGGUACUCUACGAAUAAGCACCGGCUAACUCCGUGCCAGCAGCCGCGGUAAUACGGAGGGUGCAAGCGUUAUCCGGAAUCAUUGGGUUUAAAGGGUCCGUAGGCGGGCGAUUAAGUCAGAGGUGAAAUCCCACAGCUCAACUGUGGAACUGCCUUUGAUACUGGUUGUCUUGAGUUAUAGUGAAGUAGAUAGAAUGUGUAGUGUAGCGGUGAAAUGCAUAGAUAUUACACAGAAUACCGAUUGCGAAGGCAGUCUACUAACUAUUAACUGACGCUAAUGGACGAAAGCGUGGGGAGCGAACAGGAUUAGAUACCCUGGUAGUCCACGCCGUAAACGAUGGAUACUAGUUGUUAGUUGUACAUUGGUAUGAUUAGUGAUUAAGCGAAAGCAAUAAGUAUCCCACCUGAGGAGUACGGUCGCAAGAUUGAAACUCAAAGGAAUUGACGGGGG